CAGGACUCGCAAGACUCCUUCAACCCUGUGAACUUACUACAAAGCACGUUGCUUCGGCGGGUGCUCCGGGUCUCCCGGAGCGCUGAGCCCGCCGGCAGCCUACCAAUUCUGUCUCUUUGCGUUGGCAUCUCGAGAAGAACAAAUAAGUUA
This 150-nucleotide unclassified non-coding RNA is filed under the name uncultured Chloridium. RNAcentral describes it as "sequence contains ITS1". Lineage: Eukaryota; Fungi; Ascomycota; Sordariomycetes; Chaetosphaeriales; Chaetosphaeriaceae. The record is from RNAcentral.